This 231-nucleotide unclassified non-coding RNA is filed under the name plant metagenome. RNAcentral describes it as "partial contains small subunit ribosomal RNA, internal transcribed spacer 1, and 5.8S ribosomal RNA". The record is from RNAcentral.
UCUCCGUUGGUGAACCAGCGGAGGGAUCAUUACAGAGUUGCAAAACUCCCAAACCAUUGUGAACGUUACCUAUCCCGUUGCUUCGGCGGGCGGCCCGGGCCCCGCGCCCGGCGCCCCCCGGCCCCCCGUGGGCGCCCGCCGGAGGUAAACCAAACCCUUGAAUUGCAUGGCCUCUCUGAGUCUUCUGUACUGAAUAAGUCAAAGCUUUCAACAACGGAUCUCUUGGUUCUG